CCCACCCGAGCUUUUUACCCCACACAAGUUUGCCGCAUUCGCUGCUGCCACAGCGGGGGCAGGCAGAACGAUUAGUGGCUGUGGACAGGAGCUGCUGCAGCUGAAGCUGGAGAGGCCAGAGAAAGGUAAAGCUGCUGAAGAAUAAAAUAAAGGGGAUCCAGCCGGCAGCUUCAGACAGGAGACAGCCUGCCUCUGCAGGUGAGGAAGGAUCCCUCUUGGCAUAGUCCUCAGCAGAUCCCAUCACCAACAUGCACGGCAGGGUGGAAGACAGUCAAAUGACCGGAGCUACAGAGGAGGAAGGGAGAAGGGGAGAGAGACAGACGUGUCUGAACUGUCCAAUUCUCCCAGCAGCUCUGAGAGCGGGAGCUGCAGUGAGUCCUGGACCCCUGGGGCUGUGUCACCCCUCUUCUGCAUCCUGGUCCCUCUGUGCCCCUGCCUUCUCUUUCUCUCACUGCUGUCUUUUUUUUUUUUUUUGCUUCCUGCACCUCUUCCUCUCUUGUUGUCCAAGUCCCCCUCUUUGUUGUUCUGCCUCUCUGUUUUCUUUUCCUCUCUGCACUUCUGUCCUGUCCCAUCCCUCUUUUUUUUUUUCAUUCUCUGUCUCUGCCCUACAGCCCAUCACUACUUUGUCUUUCUCCAUCUAUCUGUCUGUCUUCCUAUCCCAAUCUUGCUAAUUCCUCCCUGUCUGCCCUUUAGCCCUUCACAAUUCCCACUGCUCUCACCUGUCUGAUGCGGUGUCUCUAUUUUUAAAUUCCUCUUUCUCUGGCCUGUAUUCUUGAUACACUUUUACUUUCUCAGAUUCUCUUGUUCCAGGUCCCUGUCCCUAUGUUUUAACUUCUUCCCUCACUGUCCCAUAGCCCACUUUUGUCUUUAUCAUUCUCUCUCUGUCUGGCUCCCAGUCCCUAUUCUUUAUUUCCCCUCUCUCUCCCCUUUAGAUCAUCAGUGGUUUUGGUAUUUCUCAGACUUUCUUGUCCACUUCACUGGUCCCUUUUUUAAUUCCUCCUUCUGCCCUGUGGCCCAUCACUAAUCUUUGUUUUUCUCCAUCUCUCUGUCUGGCACCCUCUCCUGUUUUAUUAGUUCCUCCUCUCUGUCCUGUAGCCCAUGGCUAUUUCCCCCCCACACCCCCACCCUGCCUCUCUCUGUCUCCCUUUCCCUAUUUUUCAAUCCCCCCUCUCUGCCCUGUAGCCGAUCGCUGUUGUAGUGGGUUCGUGUGGCAAGCUGGGGCAGGGGAGCGGGCAGGGGCUGCAGGGGUGGGUUCUGUGAGGAGACACCAGGACUCGCCCCCGUGUUGGGCACAGCCAGUUCCAGCUCCAAGAUGGAUCUGCUACUGGUCAAAGCUGAGCCAACCAGCAACGCUGGUAGCCCCUCUGUGACAUUUAAGAACGGCUAAAAAAAUGCUGUGCAGAAGCUGGGAUAGAGAAAAUGGGAGUGUGAAACAGCCCUGCAGACACCAAGGUCAGUGAAGAAGGAGAGGGAGGAGGUGGUCCGGGAGCCAAAGCAGAGAUUCCCCUGCAGCCCAUGGGGAAGACCCUGGUGACACAGGCUGUCCCCCUGCAGCACAUGGAGGACCCCACGCCAGAGCAGGCGGAUGCACCCGAAGGAGGCCGUGACGCUGUGGAGAGGACCCCACACUGGAGCAGGUUUUCUGGCAGGACCUGCGGCCCCAUGGGAGUGACCCCACACUGGAACAGAAGAAGAGCGUGAAGGAGGAAGGAGCAGCAGAGACAACUUGUGAUGAACUGACUGCAACCCCCCCGCUCCCUCUCCCCCUGUGCUGCUCAGUGGGAAGAGGCAGAGAAGUCAGGAAUGAAGAUGAGCCCAGGAAAAAAAGAGGGGGGUGGGGGGAAGGUGUUUUUCAGAUUUGUUCCUAUUUCUCAUUAUCGUACUCUGAUUUUGAUUGACAAUAAAUUCAUUUCCCCAAGUCGA
This is a long non-coding RNA of Harpia harpyja (harpy eagle), 1923 nucleotides long. RefSeq lists it as uncharacterized. The record is from RefSeq and is a predicted model, not a curated record. The transcript has 2 exons. Lineage: Eukaryota; Metazoa; Chordata; Aves; Accipitriformes; Accipitridae.